CAGUGCUUUGUAUACAAUACUGUUCUCGUUCAUAUAUGAUAUAUGCCCAUCAGCUCUCUCAUGAUACUUUUGUCUUUUCACCUGAGUCUUUUCACCUGAGUCUUUCACCAUGAGUCUUUUAACCUGAAAUUUAAUCAUACACAUAACAAAUCAAACAGCACCUAACAAAUGAUUUGUUUAGGUAGAAAGCAAUGCCAAAGCAAAAAAUUCAUUUAAAGGAAGAUGCUAUAAUUGUGGCCCCAAAGGCCACAAAAUGAAUGAAUGCGAGAAAAAGUUUAAUCGUAUGAGAAGAAGAAGACGUUGCUACAUAUGCAAAAGAUUGGGCCAUGUUGCCAAGCACUGUAAAGAAGCAAACCUACCAGUCAAAAACGUGCUGAACAAUUGCAGCAACUGUACAAUAAACCUUACGAGAAAAUAAAUUUUAAAUAUUUGUUAU
This is a long non-coding RNA of Xenia sp. Carnegie-2017, 436 nucleotides long. RefSeq lists it as uncharacterized. The record is from RefSeq and is a predicted model, not a curated record. NCBI's taxonomy places the organism in Eukaryota, Metazoa, Cnidaria, Anthozoa, Malacalcyonacea, Xeniidae. The transcript has 4 exons.